UACAGAGGGGGCAAGCGUUGUUCGGAAUUACUGGGCGUAAAGGGCGCGUAGGCGGCCAACUAAGUCAGACGUGAAAUCCCUUGGCUCAACCAGGGAACUGCGUCUGAUACUGGAUGGCUUGAGUUCGGGAGAGGGAAGUGGAAUUCCAGGUGUAGCGGUGAAAUGCGCAGAUAUCAGGAGGAACACCGGUGGCGAAGGCGGUUCUCUGGGCCUUACCUGACGCUGAGGAGCGAAAGCAUGGGGAGCAAACAGG
RNAcentral lists this ribosomal RNA (253 nucleotides) under uncultured bacterium. Its description in RNAcentral is "partial 16S ribosomal RNA". It matches the Rfam family "Bacterial small subunit ribosomal RNA", at positions 524 to 776 of the family's 1533-position model. The record is from RNAcentral.